RNAcentral lists this long non-coding RNA (984 nucleotides) under Anas platyrhynchos platyrhynchos (common mallard). Its description in RNAcentral is "lncRNA (ENSAPLG00000017037.1)". Lineage: Eukaryota; Metazoa; Chordata; Aves; Anseriformes; Anatidae. The record is from RNAcentral.
CUAACAUCCGAGCGAGGGCAAAGUGCCAACCUCUGAUCCGCACCACGCAUCGCUUCGUGGCUCUCUGCUGUGCGCUCAGGCUGAGCUGCUGCCAUUGAUGUCUGUGCAAGGAGUGAGGGCAGACUGUGCAACUGGGAGACUUUUUGCCCUACAACUGAAGGGAAAUGAACUGGAAUGACUAACUGAAAGGGAAGAUCUGUGGAUUCGGUAGGCUGUGAUGUGGUAGUGCUGAAAAGAGUGGAAGAGCCUGUGUGCUAGCUAACACAGGACAGUGAACUUUACAGGCACAGCCAUGAGCUGGCAAACCCACAAGAAAAGAGGGAAAUGUGUUGUUCUGUGCUCUCUGAGGUCUUGGCUUGGAUAGACCAAAGGAGCAUUUUAACAUCAAAAUCCUCUUGGUUCUGAAACUCAUUGGAACCAGUAGAAAAUCUGUUCAAAACAUUCAGCAAAGUUUGGUGUUUUUCUGUUUGUUUGUUUCCACUGUGGUGAGGAACUUGUGGAACUGAUUGUGUCAGAAGGCUGUGGAGACAGGCAACACAAGCAUGUUCAGAAAGGAGCUGGACAAAUCCGUGGAUAACAAGUCUAUAGAAAUACACUGAAGAAAGGGACCAAAGGUGUUGGCAUCCGUAUCCCUAAUCCAAACAAAUGCAGAUGUUGGAAAAGACUGCAGAUCAGGGCAAGUGCCUCCCAGCUGGACUAGAUGGAGCAAGGCUCUCUCCCAAUGAAGGGACAAUCCACAUGUGUUCCUCUGCAGAAAUCAGUUUAGUGACAUGGCCUUUCCCUUCUUCUGUGAAGCCCUUCUGCAUGCUCUGUGCAAUGGGCAGUGACUUAGAGGGUGCUCAGAAGCCUGAUACUGUUGCUGCUUUUGCCUUUAUGAACCUCAUGGGAAUGAGGCAAGUGGAUAUUUGCCCUGCAAUGGCAGAAAGAGGGCUCUGGCAAGGUCUACUCUGUACAGAGAUCUUUGGAGACAGCAUAAGGGGAUAG